AUUGAACGCUGGCGGCAGGCUUAACACAUGCAAGUCGAGCGGAAACGAUGAUAGCUUGCUAUCAGGCGUCGAGCGGCGGACGGGUGAGUAAUACUUAGGAAUCUACCUAGUAGUGGGGGAUAGCUCGGGGAAACUCGAAUUAAUACCGCAUACGACCUACGGGAGAAAGGGGGCAACUUGUUGCUCUCGCUAUUAGAUGAGCCUAAGUCGGAUUAGCUAGAUGGUGGGGUAAAGGCCUACCAUGGCGACGAUCUGUAGCUGGUCUGAGAGGAUGGAUCAGCCACACCGGGACUGAGACACGGCCCGG
This 307-nucleotide ribosomal RNA is filed under the name uncultured bacterium. RNAcentral describes it as "bacterial SSU rRNA". It matches the Rfam family "Bacterial small subunit ribosomal RNA", at positions 30 to 334 of the family's 1533-position model. The record is from RNAcentral.